This 30-nucleotide non-coding RNA is filed under the name Mus musculus (house mouse). The record is from RNAcentral. Lineage: Eukaryota; Metazoa; Chordata; Mammalia; Rodentia; Muridae.
UGUUUGUCGCCAGCUCUCACCAACGAAAGC